Molecule: ribosomal RNA, 730 nt
Filed under: marine metagenome
Description: bacterial SSU rRNA
Rfam family: Bacterial small subunit ribosomal RNA
Source: RNAcentral
GUAGCGAACGGGAUUAGAUACCCCGGUAGUCCACGCCCUAAACGAUGUCCGUUAGCUCUUUGGAGUAUCGACCCUCUGAGGGGCAAAGCUAACGCGUUAAACGGACCGCCUGGGUAGUACGGCCGCAAGGCUAAAACUCAAAGGAAUAGACGGGGGCUCGCACAAGCGGUGGAUCAUGUGGCUUAAUUCGUCGAUAAACGAAGAACCUUACCAGGAUUUGAAAUCAAACUGAAAGUUCCGUGAAAGCGGAACCCUCUUCGGACAGUUUGGCAGGUGUUGCAUGGCCGUCGUCAGUUCGUGAUUUGAAUUGUUCCCUUAAGUGGGGAAACGAACGCAACCCUUAUUGCCUGUUACAAGUGUCAGGCGAGACUGCUCCCUCACGGGAGAGGAAGGUGGGGAUGACGCCAGGUCAGUAUGACCCUUUGAUAUCCUGGGCUGCACACGUGAUACAAUGGUUACUACAACAGGACGCAAUACCGUAAGGUGGAGCAAAUCCUUAUAAAAGUAGCCCAAGUUCGGAUUGAGGUCUGCAAUUUGACCUCAUGAAGUUGGAAUCGCUAGUAAUCGCAGGUCAGCUAUACUGCGGUGAAUACGUUCUCGAGCCUUGUACUCACCGCCCGUCAAGUCAAGGAAGUCGGGAGUGCUCAAAGUUCCAUUUCGGUGGACCUACAGUAAACUCGAUAACAGGGGCUAAGUCGUAACAAGGCACGGCUAGCGGAAGCUGGUCGUG